AGCGAACGUUGGUGGCGUGCUUAACACAUGCAAGUCGAACGCGAAAGAAGACUUCGGUCUUUGAGUAGAGUGGCGCACGGGUGAGUAACACGUGAGUAACGUACCCUCAAGUGGGGAAUAACUACUCGAAAGGGUAGCUAAUACCGCAUAAGACCACAGCGACUUAUGUUGCAGUGGUAAAAGCUUUAUGUGCUUGAGGAUCGGCUCGCGGUCCAUUAGGUAGUUGGUGGGGUAAAGGCCUACCAAGCCCGAGAUGGAUAGCUGGUCUGAGAGGAUGAUCAGCCACACUGGAACUGAGACACGGUCCAGACUCCUGCGGGAGGCAGCAGUGGGGAAUAUUGCGCAAUGGGCGAAAGCCUGACGCAGCAACGCCACGUGUGUGAUGAAGGCCCUUGGGUCGUAAAGCACUGUUAGGAGGGAAGAAUUUUGACGGUACCUCCAGAGAAAGCACCGGCUAACUCCG
This 463-nucleotide ribosomal RNA is filed under the name uncultured delta proteobacterium. RNAcentral describes it as "bacterial SSU rRNA". It matches the Rfam family "Bacterial small subunit ribosomal RNA", at positions 29 to 505 of the family's 1533-position model. Lineage: Bacteria; Deltaproteobacteria. The record is from RNAcentral.